This 586-nucleotide ribosomal RNA is filed under the name Debaryomyces sp. Its description in RNAcentral is "partial large subunit ribosomal RNA". It matches the Rfam family "Eukaryotic large subunit ribosomal RNA", at positions 68 to 664 of the family's 3401-position model. Lineage: Eukaryota; Fungi; Ascomycota; Pichiomycetes; Serinales; Debaryomycetaceae. The record is from RNAcentral.
ACAGGGCAAUUGCCUUAGUACGGCGAGUGAAGCGGCAAAAGCUCAAAUUUGAAAUCUGGCACCUUCGGUGUCCGAGUUGUAAUUUGAAGAAGGUAACUUUGGAGUUGGCUCUUGUCUAUGUUCCUUGGAACAGGACGUCACAGAGGGUGAGAAUCCCGUGCGAUGAGAUGCCCAAUUCUAUGUAAAGUGCUUUCGAAGAGUCGAGUUGUUUGGGAAUGCAGCUCUAAGUGGGUGGUAAAUUCCAUCUAAAGCUAAAUAUUGGCGAGAGACCGAUAGCGAACAAGUACAGUGAUGGAAAGAUGAAAAGAACUUUGAAAAGAGAGUGAAAAAGUACGUGAAAUUGUUGAAAGGGAAGGGCUUGAGAUCAGACUUGGUAUUUUGCGAUCCUUUCCUUCUUGGUUGGGUUCCUCGCAGCUUACUGGGCCAGCAUCGGUUUGGAUGGUAGGAUAAUGACUAAGGAAUGUGGCUCUACUUCGGUGGAGUGUUAUAGCCUUGGUUGAUACUGCCUGUCUAGACCGAGGACUGCGUCUUUGACUAGGAUGUUGGCAUAAUGAUCUUAAGCCACCCGUCUUAAAMMACGGRAAMC